RNAcentral lists this ribosomal RNA (405 nucleotides) under uncultured bacterium. RNAcentral describes it as "bacterial SSU rRNA". It matches the Rfam family "Bacterial small subunit ribosomal RNA", at positions 370 to 772 of the family's 1533-position model. The record is from RNAcentral.
AAUGGGCGGGAGCCUGAACCAGCCAAGUCGCGUGAAGGAAGAAGGAUCUAUGGUUCGUAAACUUCUUUUGCAGGGGAAUAAAGUGCAGGACGUGUCCUGUUUUGUAUGUACCCUGAGAAUAAGGAUCGGCUAACUCCGUGCCAGCAGCCGCGGUAAUACGGAGGAUCCGAUCGUUCUCCGGAUUUNUUGGGUUUAAAGGGUGCGUAGGCUGACUGAUAAGUCAGCGGUGAAAAGCAUAGUCUUAACCUAUGUCUUGCCGUUGAUACUGUCAGACUAGAAUAUAAAUGGAGUAGGCGGAAUGAAUCAUGUAGAGGUGACAUUCAUAGAUAUGAUUUAGAACACCGUUCGCGAAGGCGGCUUACUAAGAUAUAAUUGACGCUGAUGCACGAAAGCGUGGGUAUCGAA